GAUGAACGCUGGCGGCGUGCCUAAUACAUGCAAGUCGAGCGAACGGACGAGAAGCUUGCUUCUCUGAUGUUAGCGGCGGACGGGUGAGUAACACGUGGAUAACCUACCUAUAAGACUGGGAUAACUUCGGGAAACCGGAGCUAAUACCGGAUAAUAUUUUGAACCGCAUGGUUCAAAAGUAAAAGACGGUCUUGCUGUCACUUAUAGAUGGAUCCGCGCUGCAUUAGCUAGUUGGUAAGGUAAUGGCUUACCAAGGCAACGAUGCAUAGCCGACCUGAGAGGGUGAUCGGCCACACUGGAACUGAGACACGGUCCAGACUCCUACGGGAGGCAGCAGUAGGGAAUCUUCCGCAAUGGGCGAAAGCCUGACGGAGCAACGCCGCGUGAGUGAUGAAGGUCUUCGGAUCGUAAAACUCUGUUAUUAGGGAAGAAUAUAUGUGUAAGUAACUGUGCACAUCUUGACGGUACCUAAUCAGAAAGCCACGGCUAACUACGUGCCAGCAGCCGCGGUAAUACGUAGGUGGCAAGCGUUAUCCGGAAUUAUUGGGCGUAAAGCGCGCGUAGCGGUUUUUUAAGUCUGAUGUGAAAGCCCACGGCUCAACCGUGGAGGGUCAUUGGAAACUGGAAAACUUGAGUGCAGAAGAGGAAAGUGGAAUUCCAUGUGUAGCGGUGAAAUGCGCAGAGAUAUGGAGGAACACCAGUGGCGAAGGCGACUUUCUGGUCUGUAACUGACGCUGAUGUGCGAAAGCGUGGGGAUCAAACAGGAUUAGAUACCCUGGUAGUCCACGCCGUAAACGAUGAGUGCUAAGUGUUAGGGGGUUUCCGCCCCUUAGUGCUGCAGCUAACGCAUUAAGCACUCCGCCUGGGGAGUACGACCGCAAGGUUGAAACUCAAAGGAAUUGACGGGGACCCGCACAAGCGGUGGAGCAUGUGGUUUAAUUCGAAGCAACGCGAAGAACCUUACCAAAUCUUGACAUCCUUUGACAACUCUAGAGAUAGAGCCUUCCCCUUCGGGGGACAAAGUGACAGGUGGUGCAUGGUUGUCGUCAGCUCGUGUCGUGAGAUGUUGGGUUAAGUCCCGCAACGAGCGCAACCCUUAAGCUUAGUUGCCAUCAUUAAGUUGGGCACUCUAAGUUGACUGCCGGUGACAAACCGGAGGAAGGUGGGGAUGACGUCAAAUCAUCAUGCCCCUUAUGAUUUGGGCUACACACGUGCUACAAUGGACAAUACAAAGGGCAGCGAAACCGCGAGGUCAAGCAAAUCCCAUAAAGCUGUUCUCAGUUCGGAUUGUAGUCUGCAACUCGACUACAUGAAGCUGGAAUCGCUAGUAAUCGUAGAUCAGCAUGCUACGGUGAAUACGUUCCCGGGUCU
This 1371-nucleotide ribosomal RNA is filed under the name uncultured bacterium. RNAcentral's name for it is "bacterial SSU rRNA". It matches the Rfam family "Bacterial small subunit ribosomal RNA", at positions 28 to 1381 of the family's 1533-position model. The record is from RNAcentral.